GGGCCCGCACAAGCGGUGGAGCAUGUGGUUUAAUUCGAUGCAACGCGAAGAACCUUACCUACCCUUGACAUCCUCAGAACUUGUUAGAAAUAACUUGGUGCCUUCGGGAAUUGAGUGACAGGUGCUGCAUGGCUGUCGUCAGCUCGUGUCGUGAGAUGUUGGGUUAAGUCCCGUAACGAGCGCAACCCUUAUCCUUAUUUGCCAGCGACUUGGUCGGGAACUUUAAGGAGACUGCCGGUGCUAAGCCGGAGGAAGGUGGGGACGACGUCAAGUCAUCAUGGCCCUUACGGGUAGGGCUACACACGGUGCUACAAUGGGCAGUACAGAGGGCAGCGAAGUCGCGAGACGGAGCCAA
Molecule: ribosomal RNA, 355 nt
Filed under: uncultured bacterium
Lineage: Bacteria
Description: bacterial SSU rRNA
Rfam family: Bacterial small subunit ribosomal RNA
Source: RNAcentral